Long non-coding RNA from Dromaius novaehollandiae (emu), 1078 nucleotides. RefSeq lists it as uncharacterized. The record is from RefSeq and is a predicted model, not a curated record. NCBI's taxonomy places the organism in Eukaryota, Metazoa, Chordata, Aves, Casuariiformes, Dromaiidae. The transcript is spliced from 7 exons.
UCCCAGAUACAGCUUCACCAGCUUUGUCAAAAACCCUGCCCUCACAACCAUUUUGUGCAUCCAUAAAUGCAAGGUACGCUCUUCCCAGCACUCAAACUUUCUCUUCUUCCACUUUGUGAAGCAAUUGCCUGGCGCUCUUAGCUCCCACACAUCUGGAGGAGGAGUCGUAUGACAGUGGCUAGUGAAGAUUUCCUUUUGGCAACCUUCAGUGUACAAAGGAGGAUGGGGAUCAGAGGGACAGGCAUGUUACAAAAGCUACCAAAGCAAUGUUUUAGGAAUAUUAAUCUCCACAACUAGGGUUGGAAGCUGUCAUAUAACAGAUUUCUGCAAAACAUUUUAUCUAUUUUGCAUAAUACAUCCCAAGCUAUUGAACAUAUGAGUGAAGAUAAAAUGUGGCAGUCAUAGCCUCAGUUUUUCUUCCCUUUUCUGGACUUUUGUAGAAGGCACACAAGUUAUGAUGAUAACUUCAGCCGUACUGUGAUCUUCAUGUUUUUAACUGCUUUCUCAGAAGCCUGAAGCCUUUUCUGCAGGACACAGCCAGGAGCUGCUCUACGUAAGGGCUGUCAUGCUGCACUGCGCUCCCACUUAUCUCCCCGCUGCUCACCCUUCUUGAAUAGCUGAAGCAUGGUGUGGAUUGCACUUGUUUCAGCAAAGAAAACUCUGCCAAGUGAAAGCAAAGCUUGCCCACCAACGUGGAGAGGAUUUCAUUGUCCGAAGAAAUUGCCUCAGCAAAAAGGCUGGCAUGGAGAUCUGUGUAGACUCGGACAGGCUCUGCAUUAUCCAUAACAUCAAUACGACAUCUUGCAGAAUUUGAAAUCGCUGCCUUUCUCUCUGAGUUAGUGAAAAAACAAACAAGGUUUGAAAAUACUUUGAGAAAGAGGAUUCGUUUGCCUUCUCGUAGAAAGCUCUCAAGCCCCACCAUCUUGACUUCUGCAAGUGAGAAGCAGCAAGGACCACAACCAUCAGUGCUAUAACUACGCAGCAUCAGCUCCAUUAACGGUUUUGGAUGCACAGUGAGGAUGAUUAAACAUGUAAGAAUUAACUAUUAGAUGUUGUUAAUUAAUUAAUUUAAUAAAGU